CAAACUUGAGUUUCAUUUCUUCUUCUUCAUCCAACUUCUGCAAAUUUCUUUCUUUUCCAGCACAAAUCAUGAAAUUAUUUAUUCCAAUAAUUUUUAAAAAGCACGAAAGUUAAUUUGAGACAGGGAGAGUAACAAUUAGAAGGAAAAACUUAUUGUUGUGAACGAGACAGACCAAAAUGAUGCACUUGGGCCUGAGAAUUGUUUACGACGGGGUCAAGUGAUUAAACAGCACAACACAAGAUUAUUGGACUAUCAUUGGGAUCCGGGUUGAGGUACACGUGUCGAAGAGUUACUGGACAAGAAGAAAUGUAGUUGUUAUAAUUAUCACUUUGCGCGAAGAGGAGAGCAUGCGUAUUAUGUUGAGGCUUCGAUUGAGUCUGUUCUUCUCAUCUCUAUUUUUUUAAUGUCUGAAACUUUUCAUCCCCUUCUGGUUUUCCUUUCUUUGUUCCUCUAAUUUCUAGUUAAUUGUUGUUCUUCAUUCUAUUAGUAUUUUUUUUACAGUGUAAUAUAGGGCCGACAUGGCUAGAAUGCGGGUUUCCGAGGACAUGACACUUGAUAGGAAAGUCUGGAGAUCUAGUAUCAGGGUUGUAGGAUAGAGGCCCCUAGAGUUUUUCGUACUCCUCACCCGAGGUUGGGUGAGGCUUGGCAGGGCUCCAUAGGUGAUUUGUGCAUUGGAUUGUGUCUCCCUUAUGGCAGUUAUUUAUGGUAGUUACUGUCUGACAUAUUUGCAUGCUAUUUUACUUAUGGUUCUUAUGUUUAGCUAAUUAUUUACGCUAUUUCUGCUGGAGUUACUAAUGCUCUUUUGUUUUUGUUUUAGUUUUUCUCUUUCUUUCACUGAGCCAAUGGUCGAUUGGAAACAACCUCUCUGCCCUUUCAGGUAGGGGUAAGGCCUGUCUACAUAUUACCCUCCCCAAACCCAACCUUGUGGGACUAUACUGAGUAGUUGUUGUUGUUGAUGAUUAUAAAAUAUAAGUCUCUGUUUGUGUUGUGAAAAAAAGGGAGAUAUUUUUGACUAGUUUACCCUUAUUGAUAUUUGAACAAUA
This 1043-nucleotide long non-coding RNA is filed under the name Nicotiana benthamiana. RNAcentral's name for it is "long non-coding RNA (NBEN_LNC004879)". Lineage: Eukaryota; Viridiplantae; Streptophyta; Magnoliopsida; Solanales; Solanaceae. The record is from RNAcentral.